RNAcentral lists this ribosomal RNA (460 nucleotides) under uncultured bacterium. Its description in RNAcentral is "partial 16S ribosomal RNA". It matches the Rfam family "Bacterial small subunit ribosomal RNA", at positions 338 to 795 of the family's 1533-position model. The record is from RNAcentral.
CCUACGGGAGGCAGCAGUGAGGAAUAUUGGUCAAUGGGCGCGAGCCUGAACCAGCCAAGUAGCGUGAAGGAUGACGGCUCUACGGGUUGUAAACUUCUUUUAUAAAGGAAUAAAGUGAGGCACGCGUGCCUAUUUGUAUGUACUUUAUGAAUAAGGAUCGGCUAACUCCUUGCCAGCAGCCGCGGUCAUACGGAGGUUCCGAGCGUUAUACGGAUUUAUUGGGUUUAAAGGGGUCCUAGGUGGGGUGGUAAGUCAGUUGUGCACGUCUGCGGCUAAACCGUAAAAUUGCAAUUGAUACUGGCAGUCUUGAGUACAGUAGAGGUAGGCGGAAUUCGUGGUGUAGCGGUGAAAUGCAUAGAUAUUACGAAGAACUCCGAUUGCGAAGGCAGCCUACUAAACUGCAACUGACAUUGAGGCUCGAAAGUGUGGGUAGCAAACAGGAUUAGAUACCCGUGUAGUC